UACGUAGGGUGCGAGCGUUGUCCGGAAUUAUUGGGCGUAAAGGGCUCGUAGGCGGUUUGUCACGUCGGGAGUGAAAACUCAGGGCUCAACCCUGAGCCUGCUUCCGAUACGGGCAGACUAGAGUGCGGUAGGGGAGAUCGGAAUUCCUGGUGUAGCGGUGAAAUGCGCAGAUAUCAGGAGGAACACCGGUGGCGAAGGCGGAUCUCUGGGCCGUAACUGACGCUGAGGAGCGAAAGCAUGGGGAGCGAACAGG
This 253-nucleotide ribosomal RNA is filed under the name uncultured bacterium. Its description in RNAcentral is "partial 16S ribosomal RNA". It matches the Rfam family "Bacterial small subunit ribosomal RNA", at positions 524 to 776 of the family's 1533-position model. The record is from RNAcentral.